This is a non-coding RNA of Tinamus guttatus (white-throated tinamou), 1264 nucleotides long. NCBI's taxonomy places the organism in Eukaryota, Metazoa, Chordata, Aves, Tinamiformes, Tinamidae. The record is from RefSeq and is a predicted model, not a curated record.
CAAGUUAAUGGUGAGACAAUUCUGUCUUUAGAUCCACUCAUGGACACUCUGAUGACUGAUCCUGUGAGGCUGCCAUCUGGAACUAUUAUGGACAGGUCAAUCAUCCUGAGGCAUCUGUUGAACUCUUCCACUGAUCCUUUCAAUCGUCAGACACUGACUGAAAAUAUGCUGGAACCAGUGCCAGAACUUAAGGAGCAAAUCCAAGCCUGGAUGAGAGACAAGCAGAAUGCUGAUCAUUAAAAAUUCCCUCGCAGUGCACGCCAAUGCCAAUGGGAAGACCAGGGCGUGGGCUGGUCUGGUGGAGCAGACACAUUUUGAAAGCUAUUGAUGGGAUUAGCACGCCCACUGGCACUGACUUGCAGUAGUGACCAGGAGCAUGCGGAUGAGAAGAAAAGCAGCUUAAUUCUUGUACAUAUAUUUAAGUGAUAACGAUGGUCAAUAACAUGGAGGACAAAUUAGGAAGUUGCUUAUGUUACAAAACUGUCCUUCAGUAUGUCACGUUUUGGAGUUUUUACAGCUGAAUUAUUUUAGCAAAGAUGAAUGGAUCAGGGCAGCAUCCCUUCAACCUUAUUUUUUACAGCCAGAUAUCCGUUAAUUUGAUUGUGGUUAAAACCUUGGACAUUUUGCUGCUAAAGUAACUUUUUCCUCUUUCCCUUCCUUCUUCCACCCUGCAAACCUGCACUGCUGUCUUUUUUUUUUUCUUUAUGCAAAAAAAAAUCCCUGUGAAUAACAAAAUCAUUCCCCUGCCCUCAAAAGAACAUAUUCUGUGCGAUAACUGUGCCUGCAACAAAGUGUUAAUCUUGGGAUCAUAUUUUUAUAUGAUACAUAUUCACAUAUUUGGGUUUUUUUAAUUGGUGUUAGAAGACAAAAGAAUACUUUAAAAAAGGCAAAGAUUUGACAUGUGUAUUUUAAGUUCUGGUUCUUUGAGAUCUCACUUUUCUUUAUGUUGAUCUGGAUGCUCUGGUAUUUUUGACAAGCCUUGUGACAGACGUAUGAUAAAACAGCUGCCAUGAAUGAGAUACUUGGAAUACCAGGAUUUCGGUGACUUUCUAAGAAAUAAAAUCCAUUCUUCUAAUGCUGAAAAUACGAUUUAUGCUAAAUGACAAUUCUGAGCCUUUAGAGCUUGUCCGCAGAGAGCAGAUCCUUUUAUUCUUAGAGGUUGCAGUUGGGGCAGGGGUCAUUUUUAUGUUGCUUACCAAUUUGUAUCCAUGGCUUGGCCUUACCAAAGCAUAAAGGGUGCAGGAAAUGUAGAAUUACAUUUUUU